UGGGAGAGCGCCUGCCUUGCACGCAGGAGGUCAUCGGUUCGAUCCCGUUCACCUCCA
This is a non-coding RNA of Smithella sp. SDB, 57 nucleotides long. Lineage: Bacteria; Pseudomonadati; Thermodesulfobacteriota; Syntrophia; Syntrophales; Smithellaceae. The record is from Rfam.